Molecule: ribosomal RNA, 497 nt
Filed under: uncultured bacterium
Lineage: Bacteria
Description: partial 16S ribosomal RNA
Rfam family: Bacterial small subunit ribosomal RNA
Source: RNAcentral
GACGAACGCUGGCGGCGUGCCUAAUACAUGCAAGUUGAGCGCUGAAGGUUGGUACUUGUACCGACUGGAUGAGCAGCGAACGGGUGAGUAACGCGUGGGGAAUCUGCCUUUGAGCGGGGGACAACAUUUGGAAACGAAUGCUAAUACCGCAUAAAAACUUUAAACACAAGUUUUAAGUUUGAAAGAUGCAAUUGCAUCACUCAAAGAUGAUCCCGCGUUGUAUUAGCUAGUUGGUGAGGUAAAGGCUCACCAAGGCGAUGAUACAUAGCCGACCUGAGAGGGUGGUCGGCCAAAAUGGGACUGGGACACGGCCCAAACUCCUACGGGGAGCAACAGUAGGGGAUCUUCGGCAAUGGACGAAAGUCUGACCGGGCAACGCCGCGGGAGUGAAGAAGGUUUUCGGAUCGUAAAACUCUGUUGGUAGAGAAGAACGUUGGUGGGAGUGGAAAGCUCAUCAAGUGACGGUAACUACCCAGAAAGGGACGGCUAACUACGUG